AUUGAACGCUAGCGGGAUGCUUUACACAUGCAAGUCGAACGGCAGCGCGGACUUCGGUCUGGCGGCGAGUGGCGAACGGGUGAGUAAUGUAUCGGAACGUGCCCAGUAGCGGGGGAUAACUACGCGAAAGCGUAGCUAAUACCGCAUACGCCCUACGGGGGAAAGCAGGGGAUCGUAAGACCUUGCACUAUUGGAGCGGCCGAUAUCGGAUUAGCUAGUUGGUGAGGUAACGGCUCACCAAGGCGACGAUCCGUAGCUGGUUUGAGAGGACGACCAGCCACACUGGGACUGAGACACGGCCCAAACUCCUACGGGAGGCAGCAGUGGGGAAUUUUGGACAAUGGGGGCAACCCUGAUCCAGCCAUCCCGCGUGUGCGAUGAAGGCCUUCGGGUUGUAAAGCACUUUUGGCAGGAAAGAAACGUCGCGGGCUAAUACCCCGUGGAACUGACGGUACCUGCAGAAUAAGCACCGGCUAACUACGUG
This 484-nucleotide ribosomal RNA is filed under the name uncultured bacterium. Its description in RNAcentral is "partial 16S ribosomal RNA". It matches the Rfam family "Bacterial small subunit ribosomal RNA", at positions 30 to 507 of the family's 1533-position model. The record is from RNAcentral.